Molecule: ribosomal RNA, 208 nt
Filed under: uncultured bacterium
Lineage: Bacteria
Description: partial 16S ribosomal RNA
Rfam family: Bacterial small subunit ribosomal RNA
Source: RNAcentral
UCAGAUUGCAGGCUGCAACUCGCCUGCAUGAAGUCGGAAUUGCUAGUAAUCGUAGGUCAGCAUACUACGGUGAAUACGUUCCCGGGCCUUGUACACACCGCCCGUCAAACCAUGAGAGUUGGCAACACCCGAAGUCGGUAGUCUAACCGCAAGGAGGACGCCGCCGAAGGUGGGGUUGAUGAUUAGGGUUAAGUCGUAACAAGGUACC